CUCCAGACUCCUACGGGAGGCAGCAGUAGGGAAUAUUGCUCAAUGGGGGAAACCCUGAAGCAGCAACGCCGCGUGAAGGAAGAAGGCCUUCGGGUUGUAAACUUCUUUUGUCAGGGAAGAGUAGAAGACGGUACCUGACGAAUAAGCCACGGCUAACUACGUGCCAGCAGCCGCGGUAAUACGUAGGUGGCAAGCGUUGUCCGGAUUUACUGGGUGUAAAGGGCGUGUAGCCGGGUUGACAAGUCAGAUGUGAAAUCCUGCGGCUUAACCGCAGAACUGCAUUUGAAACUGUUGAUCUUGAGUACUGGAGAGGCAGACGGAAUUCCUAGUGUAGCGGUGAAAUGCGUAGAUAUUAGGAGGAACACCAGUGGCGAAGGCGGUCUGCUGGACAGCAACUGACGGUGAGGCGCGAAAGCGUGGGGAGCAAACAGGAUUAGAUACCCGCGUAGU
Molecule: ribosomal RNA, 450 nt
Filed under: uncultured bacterium
Lineage: Bacteria
Description: bacterial SSU rRNA
Rfam family: Bacterial small subunit ribosomal RNA
Source: RNAcentral